This 444-nucleotide ribosomal RNA is filed under the name uncultured bacterium. RNAcentral describes it as "partial 16S ribosomal RNA". It matches the Rfam family "Bacterial small subunit ribosomal RNA", at positions 30 to 523 of the family's 1533-position model. The record is from RNAcentral.
AUUGAACGCUGGCGGCAUGCCUAACACAUGCAAGUCGAACGGCAACAGGGAGUGGCAGACGGGUGAGUAACGCGUGGGAACGUGCCCUUCGGUUCGGAAUAACUCAGGGAAACUUGAGCUAAUACCGAAUACGUGCGAGAGCAGAAAGAUUUAUCGCGGAAGGAUCGGCCCGCGUCCGAUUAGCUAGUUGGUGAGGUAAUGGCUCACCAAGGCGACGAUCGGUAGCUGGUCUGAGAGGAUGAUCAGCCACACUGGGACUGAGACACGGGCCAGACUCCUACGGGAGGCAGCAGUGGGGAAUAUUGGACAAUGGGCGCAAGCCUGAUCCAGCCAUGCCGCGUGAGUGAUGAAGGCCCUAGGGUUGUAAAGCUCUUUCGCCAGGGACGAUAAUGACGGUACCUGGAUAAGAAGCCCCGGCUAACUUCGUGCCAGCCGCCGCCGUAA